Poecilia reticulata (guppy) is the source of this 2277-nucleotide long non-coding RNA. RefSeq lists it as uncharacterized. NCBI's taxonomy places the organism in Eukaryota, Metazoa, Chordata, Actinopteri, Cyprinodontiformes, Poeciliidae. The record is from RefSeq and is a predicted model, not a curated record.
GUGUCAUAAUUUACCAAAUGACGCUUUAUGACAACAGUCAAAUAUUCAUGAAGACAUUCAUGUUGACAGGAGUUAUGUCGUGUUUAUGAUGAUGUCAUGUCAGUCUAAUUCACACCAAUUCAAAUAAAGUGUUACCGAAAAAGGUUUUCAGACAACAAGUACUUAAAACAAACAUGUUAGAUUGAGAUAUUUUGACAGUUUUUAGUUCCAGUUCAUCAAAAUACCUAAUCACCAAGAGAAAUAAACUGAUGUAUGAAGGUUACAUACUGUACAUACUUACAAGUAUGAACUGAAGAGAGACAAGAUGGGAGUGUGUGGGUGCAACAUGGUGGUACUAAGUGAAAAGAAAAAUGAAAUGUGACCACUAUUAACAUUUUUGUAACCAAUUAACACAUUUCUUGUUAAGUAAUUUUGUUCUUUGAUAUAUUAUUAAACAACUGUUAUGACAAACUGUUAUGGAACAAAGAUAUCCAACUAAAAAAGUCACAUAAAUGCAAUUUAAAAUGCCCCAAUGUCAAGAUAAAUAGAAACUAAUUAUUUCCACUUCCCAGUUAUGUACUGCUUUGUGCUACUUUGACAUAAAACCCGAAUAAAACAGGCAGCCUUAUUUUAUUUUAGGACUAGGACUGAAAUUAUGUCUGAAAUAUGUUGAUCAGUUUUUAAUACCCAGCAAUAUGCAGAAAAUAAUUGCAACACAAGUUAAUCUUGAAUGAGAUGCUACUGUGCCCGUUGCUGUUUUCCAACAGUUUGAUCAAAAUCAAAAGAACAGUUAAUUAGAUUUACAUUGUUUGUUUGUGACUGUACAGAAUGUCCCUUAACUGUUAUUGUUGUGGCCAAAGCACGUUUAGCUGAUUUGAAAAGAGAUCACAGGCCAGAUCAAAGCAAAGCCAGUGAUGCAACGUCAUUUAGAAAGCCAGUCAUAACAUCUCCACCCUAAUCACUGACGUCUUCCUGCACAACCAAUGUGUACAUCAGCAAAGCUGUGCCAGAGAAACAAAACAGCUAACAGAUCAUUUUAUAGAUGGAAACAUGCUGCCAUUGACCCCAGCACAGAUAAACUGACUUGUAUAUGUCACACAUGGACUCAUGGUGUUUACAUCAGGCUCUGUCCUUAGAGACAGAGACAUGAGGAGGGCAGGGCUUCCUGAACGCACCUAUACAAACAAACAUACGUCUAACUGCACAUGUCUUCCAUUUUAAUCAGCUAAUGUUCCCAGGAAUGAGCUGGUACUUACAUGCAUCUACACUUUGAUUUGACCGUUGUGUGAGCAUGACAUUCGUAGUUAUUUAUGUGGAUUGUUGAGACCAAUAUUUACCUUGCAAGAAGUAAUCCAACACCAUGAACCUAUCCAGAUUACAACCAAACAUUAAAUGUAUUUCUUCAUGUAACAGAUCAACACAAAGUGGAGCAUAAAUCUGAAGAGAAAAUCAAAUUAUGAAGAAGUCUGAAAAAUGUGCCAUGCAUUUGUUCUCAGCCCUUUUAUUUGAGUUCCCCUAAAUAAGAUAUAAUACAACUAACUGCCUUCAGAAGUCACCUUAUUAUAAAACACAGUCCAUCUGUUUUAUUCAAUCUCUGUAUAAAUACAGUAGCUAUGAACAGGUUUGUGUCAGGGUCUGGGGUUCCCAUUUUAUUUUGUUGGAACGCCGUUGUUCCUCAUGGCAUCCACCAGAUGUCACCAGAUGCAGAGCCCCUGGGAAGCUGCUGGGUUCAACCCGUGUACACACCUGCAGCUCGUUUGGAGGUCGUGGACUAUGGAUAUAAGCAGCAGCUCCUCUUCUUCUCAUCGCCUGAGUGUUUGCUUACCUCGAUGUUCCUGCCGUCUCCUCGUUGCUCCCAUGUGUUCAGUGUGAGUCUGUUUCCCCGUUGUGGAUCACCUACCUCCUGUGUCCUCACUCAACGCUGUCGAUGUUACCGGUCAGACGCCACCCCUCGUGCUCAGUGAGCACCGGUCCCUUUCCGGUGGAUUCCCCUUCGGAAGCUUCCGGGUCAGGAGACCCAAGCCCGAACCCAACCAGAGAAAGAAUACUAUCGGACCGCAGUCAAAGCCACUCCUCCAGCCGUUAACAAACCUGUCCGCUCUCCAACGAAACCUAACCACCCAGUGCUCUGCUCAAGUUUCAUCACCUUCCUACCAAGUAAGAAAGAACCUGGAAAAUUCUCACCUUCACUUUCUAGCCCUGCUUCUCCUGUUGGCAGUAAGACGACCCGGUCAUCAGUUCCAGUACUCACUCCCCGAUUCCUUCCCUGACUUCAAUAAAACUUAUCCUUGUACAUUU